AACACUCUCUCUCUUCUCUCCCCCUCAUUUCGCCACCCUCCCUACUCUCUCUCCCUCUCACUCUUUUCUCUCUCUACCUCCAUUGUUAACCAAGUUCCAAGCUUCAUAGAUCAUUUCUAUGUUAUAAUCUCCACCAAAAUCAAAGUAUAAACUUCAUAAUCCUUGAAUCAAGAGCAACUUUGGAAUAUUUUAAAGCUUGAAGUCAAGAACGAGGAAUUUUAUUUUCUACUCAAGAAUCAUUGAGUAAGUGCUAGAUCUACUUAGAUCUAUAUAUUUGAGUUAGAUAUGAGUAUAUAUUGAUAGAUCAAGUAGAAAACAUCACCCACUUCAUUCUUGCAAUUUUCAAAAUUAGGGUUCAUACCCCUUCAAAAAUUCAUCAUCUAAUCUUAAAUUGAGAUUAUAUUCAUGCUAUUGAGAUCCUAUUUAGUCCAUUUUACAUGCAAAGCAUGAAUUUAAAAUGAUAAAUGAAUGUUUGAAUAAGUUAAUUACAUGAUCUAGAAAGGUUGAAGUUAUGGAUGAAUUGUUGAUUUGAUUAUGAAUAUGAGCUAGUGAGAGUGUUGAGAUGAUAUUUGAUGGACGAAAAUGAUGAUUAAAGGUGUUUGAUGAAGAUUGAAGUGAGUUAGUUUGAUGAAAAAUAGGGUAUAGUUGGCUAUAUGCUUGAUGAAGUUAGCAAGUUGAUGAGUUAUUUUGAAAACCUUUAAAAAGCUACUGACUUGAUGAAUUUCAACAGGGUUCUUGAUACCCAAAAAUCUUGAAACUUUUAUGGUGCGUAUAUCAGAGUGUUAAAAUGCAAAACGCCAAUUGCAACUUUCUACCGAAAGUUUGGAAGAACAGACCUUAGAGUCACCCUUUUCAGUAGCUUCCCCUAAUUUUUUGCUUGCCGACCUUUUAUGGUAAAGAGAUUAAUGUGUUGUCUAACUACCCACAAAAUUUCAAGUCAUUUCGGCAAUGUUUACUAUUUUUCAAAAAUCAAAUUCUCCAGUUGCACGAAACUGCCGAAUAUGGUAGACUGUGGGAGAACGGUCAUAUCUCUUAAACCACUUGGAGUUUUUCAACCUACUUUUUUUAAAAUGAAACUAGACUUCAAAGAGGUUUCCAAUAGUAUGAGUCUCGAACCCAGGAGAGUUCUGAGGAGAAACAGUUUAUUCUCUUAAGUUAAGGCAGUGCAGAAAGAGUGAAUUGAAUAAGAUUUUGAUUAUGAGAUGAGAUAUGAAUUAAAGAUGCCUAUAUGUGGCUUAGUGAAGAUGAAUUGAGCUUAUACAUGAAAAAUGUAAUAAAAUGGCAUAACUUGUUUAUGUGAGUUAAUUUUUGAAUAAUUGGUUUAAGAAUGAUUUAUAAAAUAGAUUUUUGGGAAAUUUCCCCGACUAAAAAUAUUUUAUUUUUUUUUUCAAAAAUGAGUUGUGUAUGUGAUUGCUAUGUGCUUAUGGAUUGUUUAUCUAUGAGUUGUUCCUUGACAGAGCCUAGACCUAAAUUAGGUGAUAAGUCGAGAAUAGAAUAGUGAUUACUUAGAAAGUGUUUACGAUAUGAGAUCGAGUCAGACGGAGUGUAGAAAUGAGAAGUAAUGAAAUAAUACUAAGAUAGAAUGAUAUUCUUAGUAAGGAAGUUUCUGACAUCCUUUAUUUAACCAUGAACUAAUCCCAUGGAAUUUGAAGAUACCAGAAGAGGACGGAAGUAAGUCCACCCCGAACGCUACGAGAGUAAGCUAAGGACAUCAGGUGGGCAUUAUUUUUACUAUACGUAUAUAGAGAUCCCCUGCGUAUCGUAGGCCUCUUAUACGAAAUGAAGUAAAUGAUGUGAUUUAACUGUAAAUUUCAGUUUGAUGAAAAUUAUUACUGAUGAUGAUGUUUAUGAGUUUGAUAAAUAAUUUGAGAUUUAUUGAUGUUGAACUAAUUGACUUGCCGAGUUUUGAUGACGACGAGCCUGUAUGUCACCCUCUACUGAUGAGACGAAUUCGGAUCCUGCCACAAGCGGGAUUGUGUACACAGAGGUGAUCGUGAGCUGUCCUUUGGGUCGGCCGGUCACGGUACUUGAGAAGGAGGCCUACUUCUCAGUACCUUUAUGAUGAUGAUUUGUAGAUGUGGUACAUACAUAACGAGAAUUUUGACCGGUCAUUUAUUUAUGAUGUUUAUGAUUGUUAACUGCUUACACGGGUUCUUUUGAGUAAAAUCCCCGUGUAUUGCUUAUGUGGCAAGUUCAAUCUAUAGCUCUAAGAGCUAGUUUUCAUUGAUUUUCGGCUUAUGUCCACUGAGUAUUCUGUACUCAGCCCUGCAUGUAUUUCUAAACGUGCAGGAUAAGCGAGGAGGGAGAUUGGACUGGUGCUGGCAGGGAUUUUGUUUCAGAUAAUCUUCAUUAUACCGUAAUUAUAUUCCUUGCGGUAACAUCAAGAUGUUGAAGUUUAUUUUGAACUUAAUCAAGAAAUUUACUCUCGGCUAUAUGUCUUCAUACAUAUAGUCUUUUCGUAUUUUGCUGCGAUACUCUGUAUAUCCCGAGUCAUUGUGAGUAAUUAGCUAUGUCUACUUUGUAAAGGUUGACAAGAAUCUCAAUAAUUUAAAAGUUAUAAAGCCAAUAAUAUUUUUAUUGAUGAUGAUGUCAUCUUUCUUGAUUUAUCACGUUUCAGUGAUUGCUUCCGCUUGACGUGCAAUCUAGUUUUGUCUUUUGACCUUAUUAAUAUAUUUAGUCGUAUCGAUACCCGGUUUACGCUAUCACUGGCUAGGCGUCGGGCUGCGACAUAUUCUUAUUUUACUUUUAAUAUGUGUUUCUUGAUUGUGCAAAGAAUUUGAGUUUUAUUGCAACACGAUUGUAAGUAUGUAAAACGUGAUUUGUCCGGUAGAUGCUAGAAGGAGUGUUGUCAUUGUGAUUGCCUACGAUCGUAUCCUUAUCUGUGAAUAAUGCUGGACGAAUUGCCAUUUCUAAAAAUGUCAGCUCUGAAACAUAUGGCCAGCUCUGAAACGUGACAGCUCUGAGUCUCUGCUCCUCUGGUCUAACUAUGAGCAUGGGAAACCACGUGAAAAGACUUUGGAUUACAUCCAAAUGGUUUUUAUUUCAUGAAUUAUGGCUCAACUGUCCAAAAACUUAAGCACACAAAGUGUAAAAAAAAUGGUGAUAUUGAUUAUAAAGGCGAUCACAUUAGGGAAUUCACUUCUAGCGGAGAAUUGGGUAUGAUCGAAUUACUUGCAUUACUGUUUUGUUGCUUCGUAAACUUUAAGUUACUUGCAUGAUCAAGAGAUGUGUGUUGAUUGUAAAAUUUUGAAUUGACUUUGUGAAUGUUUGGAUGGAAAUAAGCAUCGUUGAAAUCAAUCUCUUCCUAAGAUUCAUAUUGAUUUUGCUUGAGGACAAGCUGAUUUAUGCUUAAUUGUUCUAAAUUUUGGGGUUUGCAUGUACUUUUUAAGUUAAAUCUUCUGAAAUGGUGCGUUUUAUGGUUAUUUUAUGCUUUUCGGAGAUUUAGUUUCGAGAUGAAAGUGCAAAUUUUGGAGAUUUGGGCUAAGAAUUACGUUUUUGUGCAUGCUCUGGCACGUCAGAGAAGUGAAGCCCCGCAUGCCAGAGCAGCGAAAAGGGAAGCCAGAGAAAUGCUCCAGAUCCAGAGAAGUCAUUCGCCAGAGCAGCGAAAUCACUAGUCAGAGAAGUCAUAAGCCAGGCCAGAGAAAUCAAUAUCCAGUGCAGCGAAAUCGAAAACGCCAGAGGAAUAUAAGCGCCAGCGGAAUCGCCAUCAGAGAAACCGGAGCCAGAGCGGAACCGUUCCUGGCGAGAGCCCGAUUUCCGCCAGGGUGGAGAUUAUUUCAGAGCGCGCGACACAGCUGGAAGUUGCCUUUCUUCACGAUUCUAUUGCCUUUAGAGUUCUACUUUGCAUGGCAACUUCCAUGGUGAUCCAUAGGGAUUCGAAGUCUAUAAAUAGGGCCAUACUUUUCAUUGUAAGAUCAUCGCUUGCCCUAGUUUUAGACGCCAUCUUUGCGAUCUGUUGGCAUCCGAAGCUUAGGAUUUACUUGCUUUCAUAGUUCUUUAUAGUUUUCAGAUUCAUUGUUUUAAGUUAGAUUUCAAUUCAGUUUUUAGUUUAUUCUUGGAUUGUGAUUGAGUGACACAAUUACAUGUUCAAGACGUUUACGGUAUUUCGUAUUUCAAUUCAAUUUAUUUCGUUUAAUCAUGUUUACGUUUUUCAUUCAAGUUCAUGCUUUCUUUUUAAUUAUGCAAUUUAAAUUAUGCACUUUAGUUUCACGCCUAGAUUAGAAGUCUUUAAAUUUACAAGUAUUUAAUUUCUUAAGUUAGGUUUAAUUUGAGUUGUUUAAAUUCUUGCCUAGGUUAAGUUUAAAUUCAAGUCAAGUUUAAUUUAAGUUUAAGUUUCAGUUUUUAAAUCAAAAUCUUUACUGCUUCCUUUUAUUGCUUUUUCCUACGAUACUACUAAGAGCCCUUAAAGACUUUCCUUGAGAGAUGACAUUGGGUCAACUUACCAUCACUAGGAUGUCCUUGUUCUAUUGCAAGUCAACUUAGAGGUGUUUCUAGUUGAGUCACAAGCAAAAGGCUAAGUGUGGGGGGUUGAUCAUGUGCAUAUUUAAGUUGAAUCUUCUGGAAAUUUGUGCGUUUUAUGGUUUGUUUUAUGCUUUGCAGGAGAUUUAGGUUUUAUAGAUGGAAGAGUGUAAUUUUGGAGAUUUUGGGUUUAGAAUGGCGUUUUUAAGAACACUCUGGUGUACAGAGCUGAAAAGCCCACGCCAGAGCUGAAAAGCCGCGCCAGAGCUGAAAAGCCCGCUGCAGAGCAGAGCAGAGAAGCUCGCCAGAGCAGAGCNUAGUUUUUAUUGAUUUUCGGCAUAUGUCCACUGAGUAUUCUGUACUCAGCCCUGCAUGUAUUUCUAAACGUGCAGGAUAAGCGAGGAGGGAGAUUGGACUGGUGCUGGCAGAGAUUUUGUUUCGGAUGAUCGUCAUUAUACCGUAAUUAUAUUCCUUGCGGUAACAUCAAGAUGUUGAGGUUUAUUUUGAACUUAAUCAAGAAAUUUACUCCCGGCUAUAUGUCUUCAUACAUAUAGUCUGUUCGCAUUUUGCUGCGAUACUCUGUAUAUCCCGAGUCAUUGUGAGUAAUUAGCUAUGUCUACUUUGUAAAGGUUGACAAGAAUCUCGAUGAUUUAAAAGUUAUAAAGCCAAUAAUAUUUUUAUUGAUGAUGAUGUCAUCUUUCUUGGUUUAUCACGUUUCAGUGAUUGCUUCCGCUUGACGUUCGAUCUAGUUUUCUCUUUUUACCUUAUUAAUUUAUUUAGUC
RNAcentral lists this long non-coding RNA (5240 nucleotides) under Salvia miltiorrhiza (redroot sage). RNAcentral describes it as "long non-coding RNA (SMIL_LNC008208)". The record is from RNAcentral. Lineage: Eukaryota; Viridiplantae; Streptophyta; Magnoliopsida; Lamiales; Lamiaceae.